This is a non-coding RNA of Camelus ferus (Wild Bactrian camel), 46 nucleotides long. The record is from Rfam. NCBI's taxonomy places the organism in Eukaryota, Metazoa, Chordata, Mammalia, Artiodactyla, Camelidae.
CCAAAGGCUCUUUUCAGGGCUACCCAUAUCUCCUGGAUAAGAACUU